Molecule: ribosomal RNA, 918 nt
Filed under: Heterorhabditis indica
Lineage: Eukaryota; Metazoa; Nematoda; Chromadorea; Rhabditida; Heterorhabditidae
Description: SSU rRNA
Rfam family: Eukaryotic small subunit ribosomal RNA
Source: RNAcentral
GUUCAAGAACUGAAUUUAAUGGUUAAGAGGGACAACUCGGGGGCAUUCGUAUCCCUGCGCGAGAGGUGAAAUUCGUGGACCGCAGGGGGACGCCCUAAAGCGAAAGCAUUUGCCAAGAAUGUCUUCAUUAAUCAAGAACGAAAGUCAGAGGUUCGAAGGCGAUUAGAUACCGCCCUAGUUCUGACCGUAAACUAUGCCAUCUAGCGAUCCAAUGGGGUAUUGUAGCCUUGUUGGGGAGCUUCCCGGAAACGAAAGUCUUUCGGUUCCUGGGGUAGUAUGGUUGCAAAGCUGAAACUUAAAGAAAUUGACGGAAGGGCACCACCAGGAGUGGAGCCUGCGGCUUAAUUUGACUCAACACGGGAAAACUCACCCGGCCCGGACACCGUUAGGAUUGACAGAUUGAAAGCUCUUUCUCGAUUUGGUGGUUGGUGGUGCAUGGCCGUUCUUAGUUGGUGGAGCGAUUUGUCUGGUUUAUUCCGAUAACGAGCGAGACUCUAGCCUGCUAAAUAGUAUCCAGAUUUUCAGGUCUGGUUGACUUCUUAGAGGGAUAAGCGGUGUUUAGCCGCACGAGAUUGAGCGAUAACAGGUCUGUGAUGCCCUUAGAUGUUCGGGGCUGCACGCGCGCUACACUGGAAGAAUCAGCUGGUCCUUCCAUUGCCGAAAGGUAUUGGUAAACCGUUGAAACUCUUCCGUGACCGGGAUAGGGAAUUGUAAUUAUUUCCCUUGAACGAGGAAUUCCUAGUAAGUGUGAGUCAUCAGCUCACGUUGAUUACGUCCCUGCCCUUUGUACACACCGCCCGUCGCUGUCCGGGACUGAGCUGUUUCGAGAAGAGUGGGGACUGCUAUAUCGGGGCUUUCGGGCUCUGGUAUGAUGGAAACCAUUUUAAUCGCAAUGGCUUGAACCGGGCAAAAGUCGUA